Xiphophorus couchianus (Monterrey platyfish) is the source of this 709-nucleotide long non-coding RNA. RefSeq lists it as uncharacterized. The record is from RefSeq and is a predicted model, not a curated record. The transcript is spliced from 5 exons. Lineage: Eukaryota; Metazoa; Chordata; Actinopteri; Cyprinodontiformes; Poeciliidae.
CCGCGAGACUUCAGCCACUCCAGAUCUCUCCGAUGAGAAGUCGUGUAGUCAGUGAACACGACAGACUUUGUAACAAUGACUAUAACCAUACAGUUGAACUUGCCUGAUAAUGUGACGUCCUCCAGAGAUGACCCGCCUUAAAUAGGUUUCUAUCUGGAGAUGUUGCUGAAGACGUACGUUUGAGAAGGGCUGUGGAGAGGAUCCAUAUGUAAGAAGUGGUGUACCACAACAACAACAAAAAAAGGUUCAGGCGCAUCAGUUGCAAGAGCUCAAUUUUUAAGGCCACUCUGGGCUCUUGAGGACACUCGUGUAUGGAGCUAGCAAACAAGCUGACACAAGAGCAGUUUGAAGGAACCAGGAGAUGUGAUGCUUAAUAAAAAUUGAGAGCAAAAUGUUUGAAUGAGCCAAACCACACGUAUUGAAAAACUUUAUUUAAAAACUGUACAGAUAUAAUACAAAUCCAAAGAUGCAAACGGAUCAGCAGGUUUUACUGUCUGUGUUGAACUUGUAGGAUUUCUUCUUUAGAUUUUCUAGAAAAAUUUGCUCCUCAAGGAGGAAUUCACGAUCCUGGGGGAGAAAAACGAGAAAAUGUGAAGCUCUUGGUUUCUCAAAAUGUAUAAGGAACGCUUACUAGUAAGAAAAUGACUUGAGGUGUUUUUGUUUUUUUUUUAAACCAAUUUUCAGAAAAUAAAAUCUUUAAUGGAACAAA